Molecule: ribosomal RNA, 301 nt
Filed under: uncultured bacterium
Lineage: Bacteria
Description: partial 16S ribosomal RNA
Rfam family: Bacterial small subunit ribosomal RNA
Source: RNAcentral
CAGUCGCCGCGGUAAUACAGAGGGUGCGAGCGUUAAUCGGAUUUACUGGGCGUAAAGCGUGCGUAGGCGGCUUUUUAAGUCGGAUGUGAAAUCCCUGAGCUUAACUUAGGAAUUGCAUUCGAUACUGGGAAGCUAGAGUAUGGGAGAGGAUGGUAGAAUUCCAGGUGUAGCGGUGAAAUGCGUAGAGAUCUGGAGGAAUACCGAUUGCGAAGGCAGCCAUCUGGCCUAAUACUGACGCUGAGGUACGAAAGCAUGGGGAGCAAACAGGAUUAGAUACCCGCGUAGUCCCUGUCUCUUAUAC